AAUGAACGCUGGCGGCAGGCCUAACACAUGCAAGUCGAGCGAGCAUUUCGGUGCUAGCGGCGGACGGGUGAGUAACGCGUGGGAACGUGCCCUUUUCUGCGGAAUAGUCCUGGGAAACUGGGGUAAUACCGCAUACGCCCUUUUGGGGAAAGAUUUAUCGGAGAAGGAUCGGCCCGCGUUGGAUUAGGUAGUUGGUGGGGUAAUGGCCCACCAAGCCGACGAUCCAUAGCUGGUUUGAGAGGAUGAUCAGCCACACUGGGACUGAGACACGGCCCAGACUCCUACGGGAGGCAGCAGUGGGGAAUCUUAGACAAUGGGGGCAACCCUGAUCUAGCCAUGCCGCGUGAGUGAUGAAGGCCUUAGGGUUGUAAAGCUCUUUCAGCUGGGAAGAUAAUGACGGUACCAGCAGAAGAAGCCCCGGCUAACUCCGUG
Molecule: ribosomal RNA, 432 nt
Filed under: uncultured bacterium
Lineage: Bacteria
Description: partial 16S ribosomal RNA
Rfam family: Bacterial small subunit ribosomal RNA
Source: RNAcentral